GCGCCUCCCUAUUCAGGAAUCGGUGCACCCUGCGCCGUGGUGGAGGAAGCAUUCACCUGUCACCAAUUCUGGUUUGGAUCUCCCGAUUGCUUCUGCAGCCUGGUCUCCGCUCAUUCCUCCAAACCUUGCUCAUCUCAGAUGAGAGCAGAGGCGCAUCCCACAGAUCAGCAUGACUCAUACAGAGUGGACUUCUGUUCACCGUGGAGGAGGCAGCUCCGAGAAGGGAGUAGAGGGCUGCGGCAGCAUGAUUCAUGGGGCGGACUCAAUAAGCCGCCCGUGUGUGUGCUUUAUGAAGAGGUUUGGUGGGUCACCUCACUGUGGCUGCCACAGCGCCCUGUCUUUCACAAGCUCCUUGGAUCCGUGCUGUGGACACGAGCUGGGAACUCAGAAUCCAGGCUAGGCGUGGCCAGGUGAGUAGGCAGGUUCCUCUGAGCAGAAAGAAGGCGAGAAGAACCUGAGACACAGAGGACAUGAGGAACCACACUCUCAGGAUAAUCCAGAAGCCACAAACUGCUAACGUCACCAGUGCGUGCAGCAGGUGGAGCCAUGGCUGGGACACUGGGGACAUUUUUGCUGGAAAGACAAGUGAGGACCCAGGGAAGGCGGUGAGCACACCUUCCACGGUGCCACAGCAGGUGCUGCCAUUGUUGAGAUCAGCGGAGAGAUGACACUUGCAUCGAGGGAUGAAGGAAAAUGGAAGCAAAGAAGCCAAGAAGACGAGGCCAACCACAGACCAUCAAAAACCCCAUCUUCUUUGCACAUUUGUGUAAAUGAAAUACACUGGCAUCACCUCAUAUGUGUCCUCUUCUGAAAUUAGAAAGUCCGGUGAAGGACUUUGUUUUAAACCUUGAAAAUACAUUAAUCCUGUAAGUUAAUCCAGAGAAUUGUGGGUUCAUUUUGCAGGUUUUGUAGAAGGAUCAAAGAGCAGAGUUUGGAGGCUCGUUACUUUUCUAUGGUUUCUGAAGAAAACGUGAUUCGCACAUGACUUAGCUGUGCUGAAUUCAUGGGGAAUAAUGAUGCGUCGACUGUAUGUGAUUAUUUUUACGUCUGCAUUUUCUGCAUUUCUAGAAAUUAAUACAUGUGUUAAAAUAUCAGGUAAGAUGUAGCGCCAGAGCAGACCUGACGUGGUUUACCGCUGUGUGUGCAGCUUUCCAACCCCGCCCUGUCUGCAGGAGCCCUCAGCAACCGUGGGCCACAUCCCUGACCUCUCUGUUCUUUCCAGUUCUUCUCUUCACUACCCUGUACUCCCCAUGACUCAUAAGGUGACAAAUUUCCAUUAGUUCAGUUAAAAUGCACCAGCCAUAAUUCCCAAGAAAAAGAAAAGAAAACGCAUUGAUUUCCAAUGUCUUCUUAAAACACUCUAACACAUGAGAUGAGGAAAUAAUUAAAUAACCAGUGUGUGAGGGAAGAAUAUGUGUUUGAGAGAGUUUUAAUAGCAACAAAGAGUAUCAGUGCCCGGGCCCUCAGCUCUGGUAUGCGAAUGGCACUCCUGAUUACAACUUAGUGUAAGUAAUCGUUCAGUGUAGCAUCAGAAGGACAUCUGAAAGAGUGACAAAUUCUGCGUUUACACAUUGGGCCAGUUCCUAGGCUGAAGACCCCCUGUGAAUGGGGUCAGAUUAGGUCGCAUCAUUCAAUUGAAUUAGGAUUCCUAUUACAAGGAGCCAAAUUCCUUCAAGUGUCUUUCAUCAAAAGGCCAAUUUAUGCAUAUUGAGGUGACCUUUACUUUCACUCUUCCCUCUAAAGGAAGAAGAAAAGAGAAAUACCAGUGGGCUAGAUGCAUUUUGCACUGGCAGGAUCGCUCCUGUUGGUGUGAUCUGGAAUGCUCCCCGUCCCCAGCACGCCACUGUCCUCUCUGUCACUCCCAAGAAGGCGAGCAGGGUCAACCUCACAGAAAGGGUGCAGAUUAGCACGAGGUCUUUCAAAGCACCGGAGAGGUGUGAUUAAUCCUUUGAAAGUGUGAGCCUUUCUGACGUGGCAGCUGGACUCGUGGGGGACACAGCACAGGGCUCCACAGGCCUGAUAAGGAGGGUGCAAAGUAGAAUGCAACGAACCUCACGACCCAGACAUUAUUAGGAGAGGAAAUUAAUACCACCUUCAGGAGAUCUGUGGCACUUAGCGCAGCAUUGGGAAGGAGGAAGGAGGCCUUUAUGUCAGCUGCCUUGCGUUCUGAGCAUGGACACGUGCAUUUGCAUUUGGUAACAUGAAGAUGAAAUGUGUGGCUUUACAUUAAUGAAGGCCUUUCAGUUUUGGAAGGGACCUUGAGUGGGGAUUAUGGGCGGGUUUCUGAGCAACAUGUGCACUCUUGAAAUCUCCUGUCCUUUUCUCUCCAACCAUUUCAUCUUAGGCUUUAAUUACUUCCAAAGAUCUUUUUAGAACUGGACUUUUAGCAAGGGAAAUGUUUCGGUCUCUGUGCUAAUUUGCAUGGCGACUGGACACCACACAGUGCAGAUGCACACUGACCCCGCAGCCCCCUUUGUCCCUUCCACUUGUUGUGAUUCUAUCUGUUGGGGAUGAUGACAGGGAGGAUUGGGGAUGGGGAUGCCAUCUCCCCAUCUGGGGCCUAGGGUGCCCCUCACCUCCAUGCAGAGAUCAGAAGUGGAGACUGACUGCUCUUCGCCUUCCAUGUGUGUUGGAGGAGAGGCCACCCACCGUCCUGCUGGGCCAUGGCGGCCAACCAUCCUUAUGCACAGUAAUGUGGAGUCGUGGGGAGGGAGAAGCUCGAGAGUCUGGUCGAAGCCCUUCACCAAAGAAAGAAACUCCACCAUCAGAGACUUGGUGAGCUAAUCCAAGCCACGUAGCUAGUUCAUGGUAGAAAUGGAAGGAGAAGCCAGAUUUUUCUCAUGACGACAUCAAGUUUUAUUACUAUUUAAUUUUUCUUUCUGGGACCCUGCCCUUUCUCAUUUCAAUUAACCUUUUCCAGUCAGGUGACUAAAAUUAUUUUUAAGUGGUAAUGUCAUAUUGAGUAAUAUUUUCUCUUCUGAAAAAUAACCGUGCAUUCCUAUACUUAGAAGAGACAAAAGGGGCCAAGGGUAAAGGUGCCCAAGAGAGGUGGGCUCGCCCGUCCUUCCUGAAACUCUUUCCAGGGGACCCCAGACACAAGCGCCUCCAUCUUCCCAGUCCUCCGCGCAGCCUCCGCCCCAGAGGCCUUCAUUCAGAAGGGAGAUUAAGAACCUCCAAGCAUUCUUCAGCCUCUUUUUACUCCACAGCGGUGAGGGGAUGAAUAUUGGGUCUGUUUAUUAUACAAAUUAGUCUGUUUCUUCUUCCCCCAAAUUUGUAGAUUCCAGGAGUGAACCUACAUGGAACAGAACCAAGUUUCUUGCUAAGAAGUCUGGAGAGUGCCUUUGUCAAACAAAAUUAAGCCAACAUAUAAUUGUCAUUUACUGUAUUCUUAUGGAAAUUGGACAUUAGCAUGUGUAUAAUUGAUCUCAAGUCCAGACACAUCAAAGACACGAAUCUAUGUAUCUAUGGGUUUUUAAUCUAAUUGUAAGGAGCUCCAUAUGUUAUUGCUCAAAACUUGUUUUUACUUGAUUUAUUUUAAUUAAAAUAAAUGUUUUAUAUUCCA
Non-coding RNA from Ictidomys tridecemlineatus (thirteen-lined ground squirrel), 3562 nucleotides. The record is from RefSeq and is a predicted model, not a curated record. NCBI's taxonomy places the organism in Eukaryota, Metazoa, Chordata, Mammalia, Rodentia, Sciuridae.